GAUGUUCACACCUGGAACGGUGAACCGUGACGGCUAAAAUUCACUGAGUGAAAAUCAAAAGAUUAGAAUUACAGAAUGCAAACCUUUAAAUACCUUGAAUUUAACCACGCAUUCAACAGGUAGUCACUAAGUGUCACAGUACAAUACACAUUGUAUUAAUUUUACACAGUACUAGCGAGAAAUGUUUGCUAGACUGAAGUAAAAGGUGAGAAUACAAACAUGCAUUUUUUAUACACUAUCAGUUAUAUAUGUUUGUUGAAAAUAUCCGUCGGAAAAAAAAUUCAUAAAAAUAUUCUAUUGUAUGAUUUACUUUUAUUACUAUAAUGACUAUAAUCAUAUCAGAAAUCCUUAAAAUAUAAAUCGUACAUUUUUUUUUAAAGUUGCACGGCUGAUCACUUUACUUUCUUAAUUAUCAGUUGGUUAAUAGCUACGCCAAAAGUCGUCGAUGCGCUUUAAAUCGCGUAAUUAGAUGAUUAACGAACAAGACUUAAAUGAGACUAAUUCCACUCCCGGCAUGCAAAAAGACUUAAACUACGUCACAGAAGUCAGGAAGUUCGAAUAAAUAAAAUUAAUAAUUCCCAAUUUUCUUCUUUAUUAGUUUUCAUAUCCAGAUAAAACUUGGUGAAUAUGUUUUUUAUGGUAUUAUGAACAUAAUAAGAUGAUAAGUAAAAAAUCGCGAAUUUUCCCUUUAACAACUCACUUCGAACUUCUUAAAAAUAAAAACAAACCUAUUUUGCACCAAUAAUGGUUCCCUGUAAGUUGAACAUACAAAUAAUGUUGCGAAAUCUCUCAAAUUGUCACAAAUUAAUAUUUGUUCGUGAUCUUUCAUGAUAACUCCUUUCUCGCACAAAAAAAAUCUCGAUUGAAUUAAGAAAUGAUUAGAAACACAUGUAUUUCAUCAGAACAAUAGACAAAUAAGAAUGUUCAAUAAAAAAAAUCUAACACAUUAUUGUAACUACAAUAUAAACAUAUAAACAAAUGUAUCAUUAUAACAGUUGUCUAGAAACUAGUUAAGGAUAAAAAAUGACAAAAUUGGAAAGGUACGUGUAACUAGCGGAAUGCAUCAGAAAAAUAUCACAGCAAAAUAUAACCCUGCAUAGGCUUGCCAUCAAUUGUGAAAUACAUUCAUGUUUAUGGAACUUAAAAUCAGCGAAAUCUCUUUAAAUUAAAGAACCUUAGUGAGCGCGCUCACAUACCCCACGUCCUCACAUUGUCAUUGGAGAAAUAAAAUAUGUGUAAGAAAAAAAAAUUGAAUCAUAAUUUCCUGUCAAUAUGCACAUCUACAUAGUAUGUCCUUAUUAUCUACAAAGUUUCAUGAAAUUAUGUUGUGUGGUUUCAGAGGAGUUGCGAUGAAAAACUGUUGCAGAAGACAUUAAAGCAAAUAAGUUCAAAGGGGCGUAACUCCUAGCAAAAAAAUUGAACAGUAAUUUCCUGUCGAUAUGCACAUCUUCAUAGUAUGUCCUUAUUAUCUAAAAAGGUUUCAUGAAAUUCUGUUGUGUGGUAUCAGAGGAGUUGCGAUGACAAACUGUUGCAUAGUACAUUGAAGCAAAUAAGUUCAAAGGGGCGUAACUCCUAGAAAAAAAAUUGAACCGUAAUUUCCUGUCGAUAUGCACAUCUACAUAGUAUGUCCUUAUUAUCUAAAAAGGUUUCGUGAAAUUCUGUUGUGUGGUUUGAGAGGAGUUGCGAUGACAAGAAACAGGACUGACGGACGGACAGACGGACAGACGGACGGACGGAUGGGUCAAAAACAUUAUACCCUCCGCAACUCGUUGCGUGGGG
This is a long non-coding RNA of Mytilus californianus (California mussel), 1779 nucleotides long. RefSeq lists it as uncharacterized. The record is from RefSeq and is a predicted model, not a curated record. Lineage: Eukaryota; Metazoa; Mollusca; Bivalvia; Mytilida; Mytilidae. The transcript is spliced from 2 exons.